UAUAUUAAAGUUGUUGCAGUUAAAAAGCUCGUAGUUGGAUUUCUGGCGGGAGCGAUCGGUCCUUCACUCAGUGUUGGAACCUGAUUGUCUCCUACCAUCCAUGGAGAAAACUUAUCUGGCAUUAAGUUGUCGGGUAGGCAAUCUCCAUCUUUUACUGUGAAAAAUUUAGAGUGUUCAAAGCAGGCUUAUGCCGUUGAAUAUAUUAGCAUGGAAUAAUAAGAUAGGACUAUGGUACUAUUUUGUUGGUUUGUGCACCAUGGUAAUGAUUAAUAGGGACAGUUGGGGGUAUUCGUAUUCCAUUGUCAGAGGUGAAAUUCUUGGAUUUAUGGAAGACGAACUACUGCGAAAGCAUUUACCAAGGAUGUUUUCAUUAAUCAAGAACGAAAGUUAAGGGAUCGAAGAU
This 403-nucleotide ribosomal RNA is filed under the name uncultured Rhizosolenia. RNAcentral describes it as "SSU rRNA". It matches the Rfam family "Eukaryotic small subunit ribosomal RNA", at positions 600 to 1005 of the family's 1831-position model. The record is from RNAcentral. Lineage: Eukaryota; Bacillariophyta; Coscinodiscophyceae; Rhizosoleniales; Rhizosoleniaceae.